Regulatory RNA element from Terribacillus aidingensis, 122 nucleotides. It matches the Rfam family "ylbH leader". From Rfam's summary of the family: This family is a putative regulatory RNA structure that is found upstream of the ylbH gene in B. subtilis and related low GC Gram-positive bacteria. NCBI's taxonomy places the organism in Bacteria, Bacillati, Bacillota, Bacilli, Caryophanales, Bacillaceae. The record is from Rfam.
AUAAAAAAAGCCUGCAGGGAAGAGCCCUGCAGGCGCCUUUUGUUUCCAAUGAAAACAAACAGGCAAAGGGAGAGGAGAAACCGGAGGAAGAGCUUAUGGGGAAACGUAAGUCUUCUCCGUGU